UUUCGCAAUGCCCGAAAGGGUGACGAAGCGACGCCGCGUGAGUGAGGAAGGCCUUCGGGUUGUAAAGCUCUGUCAGGAGUUAAGAAAUAUAAGUGUGUUAAUACCACAUUUAUUUGACGAAGGCUCCAAAGGAAGCCACGGCUAACUCUGUGCCAGCAGCCGCGGUAAUACAGAGGUGGCAAGCGUUGUUCGGAAUUAUUGGGCGUAAAGAGCACGUAGGUGGGUUUGUAAGUCAGAUGUGAAAGCCUUCUGUUCAACGGAGGAAUUGCAUCUGAAACUGCGAGUCUUGAGUGUAGGAGGGGAGAAUGGAACUUCUGGUGGAGCGGUGAAAUGCGUAGAUAUCAGAAGGAACGCCGGCGGCGAAAGCGAUUCUCUGGCCUAUUACUGACACUCAGUGUGCGAAAGCUAGGGGAGCAAACGGGAUUAGAUACCCCGGUAGUCCUAGCUGUAAACGAUGGGCACUAAGUAGAGGGGUUUUA
Molecule: ribosomal RNA, 479 nt
Filed under: uncultured anaerobic ammonium-oxidizing bacterium
Lineage: Bacteria
Description: bacterial SSU rRNA
Rfam family: Bacterial small subunit ribosomal RNA
Source: RNAcentral